AUGCUCACUUCGGCAGCACAUACACUAAAACUGGAACAAUACAGAUGAGAUUACCAUGGCCCCUGCACGGGAAUGACAUGCAGAUUUGUGAAGUGUUCCAUAUUUUA
Small nuclear RNA from Molossus molossus (Pallas's mastiff bat), 107 nucleotides. The record is from RefSeq and is a predicted model, not a curated record. Lineage: Eukaryota; Metazoa; Chordata; Mammalia; Chiroptera; Molossidae.